CCAAAGGCCCUUUUCAGGGCCACCCACGUUCUCACUUAAAAGAGCU
Regulatory RNA element from Monodelphis domestica (gray short-tailed opossum), 46 nucleotides. It matches the Rfam family "Histone 3' UTR stem-loop". From Rfam's summary of the family: The mRNAs of metazoan histone genes lack a poly-A tail. 3' end processing occurs at a site between a highly conserved stem-loop (modelled by this family) and a purine rich region around 20 nts downstream (the histone downstream element, or HDE). The record is from Rfam. NCBI's taxonomy places the organism in Eukaryota, Metazoa, Chordata, Mammalia, Didelphimorphia, Didelphidae.